This is a long non-coding RNA of Alosa sapidissima (American shad), 436 nucleotides long. RefSeq lists it as uncharacterized. NCBI's taxonomy places the organism in Eukaryota, Metazoa, Chordata, Actinopteri, Clupeiformes, Clupeidae. The record is from RefSeq and is a predicted model, not a curated record. The transcript is spliced from 3 exons.
CGUGUAUACACACACACACACAAACCACUAUUAACGAGAUCCAACCUUCUGAAAUGUACACACACACCCACACCCCACUAUUAACGAGAUCCAUCCUUCUGAAAUAUGUAAGCGCACACACACACACAGUUGCACACAUAUGCACUACAUCAGUCAGAUUCCACCUGCAUGCACACAUGCUGAGGUGAGCAGGGGCACAGGUGAGAGAGGGCGCAGGUGAGGGCGUUGCCUGGAAAGGAUGCCGGCUCUGCUCUGCUCAUGUGCCAGCUCUACUCAGGGAUCUGUGCUCGGCUGCAGAAAACCCCUGAAGUGAAAUUCCCCUAAUUGCCCCUUAAACUUCAGCAGGUCCUCUCUAAGGUCCUCUCUAAGGUCCUCUCAGAGUGAAAUGAUGAAAAGUCUUCAGGUUUCUCUUCAGUGUUGCUGCUUCCUCGCAUGA